ACAGUGGUCCGGCUUGUCGCUGGUGGCCCCGAGAGGCACGAGAGGAAAGUCCGGGCAGCGCAGGGCACCCCACUUCCGAAAGUAGAAGCUAUCGGCGACGGUAGGUUAGGGUAGAAGAGAAUGACCGCCUAUAUAUAUAAAAUAGGUAAGGGUGAGAAGGUGGUGUAAGAGACCACCAGCCGGCGGGUGAUCGUCGGGCUGUACCCACUGGGGGCUGCAAGUUCAAGUAAACCGACCGAGAGAGGGUGGCCCGCCCGAGUAGACGAAGGUCUGAGCGUCCGCAAGGAUGCGACAAGGCCGGGGCUCUUGCGGCGGAGGGUAGAAUGCUGGAGCCGUGGGGCGACUCACGGUGUAGAUAAAUGACAAGCACGGGCUCCCCGUCUAUCGAGGAGCCCGCACAGAACCCGGCUUACAGGACCACUGCCUUU
Molecule: RNase P RNA, 428 nt
Filed under: Prevotella sp.
Lineage: Bacteria; Pseudomonadati; Bacteroidota; Bacteroidia; Bacteroidales; Prevotellaceae
Description: RNase P RNA component class A
Rfam family: Bacterial RNase P class A
About the family: Ribonuclease P (RNase P) is a ubiquitous endoribonuclease, found in archaea, bacteria and eukarya as well as chloroplasts and mitochondria. Its best characterised activity is the generation of mature 5'-ends of tRNAs by cleaving the 5'-leader elements of precursor-tRNAs.
Source: RNAcentral